RNAcentral lists this non-coding RNA (23 nucleotides) under Drosophila melanogaster (fruit fly). RNAcentral also lists the same sequence under 2 other names. The record is from RNAcentral. Lineage: Eukaryota; Metazoa; Arthropoda; Insecta; Diptera; Drosophilidae.
UGGAAGACUAGUGAUUUAGUUGU